Long non-coding RNA from Nomascus leucogenys (northern white-cheeked gibbon), 556 nucleotides. RefSeq lists it as uncharacterized. The transcript has 4 exons. The record is from RefSeq and is a predicted model, not a curated record. NCBI's taxonomy places the organism in Eukaryota, Metazoa, Chordata, Mammalia, Primates, Hylobatidae.
AUUCUUUCCAGACGUCUUGACUUCUCCUUCCUCGCCGUUGUUGCCUUUCUGCCUCCUCCAACUUAAGGGGGUCUUAACAAGAUCUUCUGAGGGGUAGACUUCUUUGGAACUCGACAGGACCUUGAAGUCUGGGUUCUUAGUCCUUAUCACAUAUAUGGGCUGUAAUGAAUAAGUCUAAACGGAAAAAUCGAAUAAACUGGAAAUGAUGCUUUCACCACGUCGCACAAGAAAAACACAUUUGUUGUUUCUCGCCUCUGACUUGUAAUUCAUGACCCAUGAGACAGAAGUAAAAUGUUCUCUGACUGCAAAUGGAUGUAAAAGCUGAUUAUACAGCUAUACAUUUCUGGCAUCCUCCCAUCUCCACCCCAAAGUAAGGGGAGCUGUUUGGAUCAGAAGAUGACAUCCUUUCACCCAUCCCUUUCAGGUUUUGACAUCCUAAAAUGUACCUUAUGGAACCCAUACCUGUUAUGUUUUCACCUGUACAAGGCAACAGAGAAAACAUGGUAGUUUUCACUUCAGUAGAUGUGACUUAGCAAUAUGUUGUUGCUGACCUCCA